Molecule: long non-coding RNA, 985 nt
Organism: Oncorhynchus nerka (sockeye salmon)
Lineage: Eukaryota; Metazoa; Chordata; Actinopteri; Salmoniformes; Salmonidae
Exons: 4
Source: RefSeq, a predicted model, not a curated record
UAUUUGUAUUUGGUUGGGAGGAAGGGGAUAUGAGAUUUAGGUCUAAGCAUAGUGUGCCCCGUCGGCAACUUUUGAGUAACUCUGUGAUGAGAAGAAGACUUAAGGUGACCUUCUAUGGAUUAACAUAACAUGGAGAAGAACAGGAUGGCAUUGUGAUGGAUUCAAAUACCGGUAGACACUGCAGCAAAUAGUGAACACAGUGCUUUUGAAAGCAAUGGGAGUCCUACAUGGUAUCGCAGUGGCUUAAAAUGGGAUCCGGGUCAAGUGCUUCUGAUAAAAUUCCAUUGGUUGAAAAUGAUGAGUCAAAAGAGGAUGUUGUCCUUUUUGAAAAACUGGAUUUUGUGAUUAUUGGCUACCAUGGUGCUGGAAAGAAUAAAGCAGGAAAUAUCAUCCUGAACAAAAAGGAAUUCAGUUACUGGACAUCAUGGAGCAAACAAGCUGUGAAGAAAGAGUCCAACUCAGGCAAUCAUAAAAUUACUGUGAUCCGCACUCCAGGUUGGUCUGGGAAAUUAAGUACGGAGACAAAACAGCAGAUUCUAAAAUCUGUCCAGUCGUCAUUUACAGAUGGACCUAACGCUCUCCUCUUGGUUAUUAAAAUCGGUUGUACAGACUCUCUAGCUAUUUUCACAAAUGAAGAAGGAAAAAGCAUGUUUGAAGAAAUGUUCACUGAAAAUGUAUGGGAAAAUAUAAUAGUGCUGUUCACAAAUGAGAAAGGAUUGAUGAAAGAAAAUAUGCCUAUUGACGAAUACAUUACUAAACUUAAACUUGACUGGUUGAUAGAGAAAUGUGAAGGAAGGUAUUUUUGUCUUUCCGACAUAAAUUCAUGGAAGGUUCAGAGUAGGGAGCUGAUCUACAAUUUAGAGGUAAAUAUAGCUGAGAGCAAAAAUGAGAAUUUCAACAUGGAAGAUAUUGCCACAGAGAAUAAACUGAAGAAAAAGACAUCGCUGAAAGAAAACCUUGAAAAGAAGUACAACCAACUUAAAUC